RNAcentral lists this long non-coding RNA (5361 nucleotides) under Anolis carolinensis (green anole). RNAcentral describes it as "lncRNA (ENSACAG00000042926.1)". Lineage: Eukaryota; Metazoa; Chordata; Lepidosauria; Squamata; Anolidae. The record is from RNAcentral.
AUGAAGUUCAACAGGGACAAAUGCAAGGUACUUCAUUUCGGCAGAAAAAAUGGAAAUCAAAGAUACAGAAUGGGGGACGCCUGGCUUGACAGCAGUGUGUGCGAAAAAGACCUUGGAGUCCUUGUGGACAACAAGUUAAACAUGAGCCAACAAUGUGAUGCAGCAGCUAAAAAAGCCAAUGGGAUUCUGGCCUGCAUCAAUAGGGGUAUAGCGUCUAGAUCCAGGGAAGUCAUGCUCCCCCUCUAUUCUGCCUUGGUCAGACCACACCUGGAAUACUGCGUCCAAUUUUGGGCACCACAGUUGAAGGGAGAUGUUGACAAGCUGGAAAGCGUCCAGAGGAGGGCGACUAAAAUGAUUAAGGGUCUGGAGAACAAGCCCUAUGAGGAGAGGCUUAAAGAACUGGGCAUGUUUAGCCUGCAGAAGAGAAGGCUAAGAGGAGACAUGAUAGCCAUGUAAAAAUAUGUGAGGGGAAGUCAUAGGAAGGAGGGAGCAAGCUUGUUUUCUGCUGCCCUGCAGACUAGGACGUGGAACAAUGGCUUCAAACUACAGGAAAGGAGAUUCCACCUGAACAUCAGGAAGAACUUCCUCACUGUGAGGGCUGUUCAGCAGUGGAACUCUUUCCCCCGGACUGUGGUAGAGGCUCCUUCUUUGGAGGCUUUUAAGCAGAGGCUGGAUGGCCAUCUGUCAGGGGUUCUUUGAAUGAGAUUUCCUGCUUCUUGGCAGGGGGUUGGACUGGAUGGCCCAUGAGGUCUCUUCCAACUCUACUAUUCUAUGAUUCUAUGAUUCUAUAAUGGAAUAGGGUGACACUUUGAGGUUCCCCAUGCAACCUGAUUAUGUGCCAGCAGCACAUAUCUUAGUUUACAAUGUUGAUGCAGCCAUUCUUUCAAGUGUUAACCUCUACUCCCACAGCUAUUUGAUCUAAUGAGUACUAUUCCUUAUGUCUACAUAUCACAAUAGUACCAGAUUGUUUUAGAGAUAUUUAUAUAGGGGGAAAGUGCAUCUUAGAGUUGAAGAAAUACAGUAGUUUUCAGGAAUAUCAUGGGGAAAUUUGUCAAAGGUUUUACUGAAAUAAAGAUAUACUACACCCACAGCAUUGUCUCCAUCUACCAAGCUCAUAACUCUCACUCCCACUCUCUUAAAAGAGAGAGAAAGAGAGAGAUGAUUGGUCUGACGGUGGAAUAGACUGCCUCAGAAAGUGGAAUAUGUCUUCAUUGGUGGCUUUAAAAAGUGUAGAGAUGCUUUAGCAAUUCCUGCAAUAGUAGAGGGCUGAACUAGCUAUCCUUUGGGAUUUCUUCCCACUCUACAGUUCUUUCAUUACCCCCUCUACUUAUAAUCACCUAUUCUCACUAAUUCUUUAAGUUCACCUUCUUUACUUCUUCCUGAGGCCUCUCUUUUCUUUUUAGGAAGUGAGAGGAUAUUGAUAUGCUUGAACAAGUCUUUUUAAAAAAGGAGAAAACAAAAGCCAUUUGAGGUGAUUCCUUUGAGUGUUCGGGAGCCAUCCUCUUACAUCUGCCAUGCAAGGCUGAAAUUUUAUAGGCAAGCUGUAAAAGAGAUCAGAACAGAGGGACGUUAAACAAUCUUGAGUUGAAGAACUGUAGCGAAAUCACAGACACAUUUAUAGCCGCAUUAUAGAACACUUCACAGUAAAUUGGCACCAAAGUGGUCUCAUGUAGUCUCAGUUCUGUGCAGCAGAGUUUCGCUUCAGCUCUUCUGUUUGAUUCUUCUCAAAAAUAUGGAAAACAUAAUUUGGAUUUUGUUAUAUUUUUAACAAAAACCUUCCUAUAUACAAUGGAAAGGAUUUUAUUUAAAAUAUUUGCAAGUAGGAGAAAAUAAAACAGGGUAAACUUGCCCAUCUAGACCCUUAGCUUUAAAUGCAUGUAUCUUUAGAGUCCAGGGUUAAUUCCCAUGCUGAAUUAGGGUUACCAGCUUUUCUUUACUGAAAGGCUCCUUAUCUCUAACAUUCAUUCAUUUAUUCAUUUAAUUUACUUAAUGUGUUUUGUGUGGUCAAUGGUCAAUACACAAUCUGGACCGCAAACUAUUUCUAGGAUUUUCUGAAAUCACUUUCUUCAAUGCCAGUUCGAGCUAAAUUAAAUGAUCGGUGUAGAUGGGACCCCAGAAUCAAAAUCAUAGAGUUGUAAGGGAACCACAAAAAUAAUUUAGUCCAACCUCCUGCCUUGAAGCAUUCCUGAAAGAUGCCAGUUCAACGUCAGGGAAUUUAACACAUUCUGAGAAAAGCUAUUCCAACUCUGAACAGCACCUCUUACAAUGAAUAUUUUCUUUUUUAUGUUUAAGUGGAAUCUCUUUUCCUAUAAUUUGAAUCCAUUUGUUUGGGUUCUAGUCCCUGGAGUAAAAGAAAACAAACUUGCUCUAUCUUCUACAGGACAACCCUAUCAUGCUACCUCUCAAUUUUCUUUUCUCCAAGUUAAACACCCCAGUCUCCCUAAAUCAUUUCAUAAGGUUUGGUUUCCAAACUUUUGAUUAUCUUGGUUGAACUUUUUUGGACACAUUCCAACUUAUUAAUAUCCUUCUUGAACUGUGUGUCCAGAAUUGGACACUGUGUCCUAAGUGAAGUUUGACAAAAGCAGAAUAGAGUGGCACUACAGAACUAUGCUCCAUUUGAUACAGCUCAGAGUUCCACUUGCUUCUUUGACCAUUGCAUUACACUGUGGACUUUCAUGUUUAGCUUGUGGCCUAAGGUAAAGGUAAAGGUUUUCCCCUGACAUUAAGUCUAGUCGUUUCUGACUCAGGUGGUUGGUGCUGAUCUCCAUUUGUAAUCCGAAGAGCCGGCAUUGUCCGUAGACACCUCCAAGGUCAUGUGCCUGGUAUGACUGCAUUACCUUUCCACCAUUACCUUUCCGCCAGAGCAGUAUCUAUUGAUCUACCCACAUUUGCAUGUUUUCAAACUGCUAGGUUGGCAGAAGCUGGUGCUAACACUUGGAGCUCACCCCACUCCACGGAUUUGAACCGCUGAUCUUUCAAUCAGCACGUUCAGCAGCUCAGUGGUUUAAUCUGCUGUGCCAUCAGGGUAUGCAAUAUUACAAUUUGGACUUUACAUACCAUCCCCAAUACUUUAAAUUGGACCCUCUAGCCUUUUCAGCAUUUACCAAAGGCUCUAUUGGUGAAGAUCUCAUUCUUCAAGUGUGACCCCUAAGUUUUGUGAAUAUUCCCUAGUAUCAUAUUAUUAUUUUUUUCUCCCAUACAAACAUAGACUUACAUCAACAACUUCUUAUUCACCAGACCGGUUUAUUUCCCUCCUGGAUAAAUAAUCUACUGUAUGUGUUUAAGGCCUUAUUUAUUAUAAAUGAUCCGCCUUGGCUGUCCAUCAACAGGAACUCCCUAAGCAACAUGCAAGUGAAUAAUAUGUUUGAUAAAUGUAAAGACUGGAACUAAACUAAUAAUGCAAAGAAACCAACAGAAAUCGUAAGUACAAACAAGCUAUAACAUUUAUCAGGAUGGAUUAGAAAACAAUAUCACACCAUGAGCAGACAUGCAGGAUUCAGAUCAUGAGAAUGUGAUACUCAGACUGUACAGGUCAAAUAAAGCAGAUGCUCAUCCAGGGCAUCCCCAGAUCACAGUAUUAAAUGUCAUUUGCAAUGAUGAGCAUCCUAUUGGUUUUACUACAGGAUGGAGCUCACAUAGAGGAGAUGACAAAGAUGGUUAGAAUUCUGGAGAUUUGGAUGAAAGAUUGAAGGACAGUUACUGAUUCAUUCAUUUACAAUAAUAAAUAUGUUACAACAAUGUUAAAACAUUAUGCUGCUAAAAUGCAUAAUAUAAUUUUUAAAAGUGACAUUAAAUAAACUGUCAUGUUGUCUGUGUAUGUGCCUCUAAGUCAUCUGUCAACUUAUGCUUGACCUCAUGAAUUUUGUAGGGUUUUCUUAGGCAAGGAAUACUCAGAUGUGAUUUUUGCUAGCACCCUCUUUUGAAAUAUAAAUGUUUUAAAGUGAAAUUAAUUACACUGUCAUACUGGGCGUGCAUGUGCCAUCAAGUUACCUGUCCAUGUAUGGUGACCUCAUACAUUUCAUAGGAUUUUCUCUUACAAUGAAUACUUAGAGGUGGUUUUUGCCAGAUCCUUCCUCUGGAAUAUAAUGUGCAACACUUGGUAUUUGCUGAACUCUUUCAAAUGCAAAGUCAACCCUCCUCUGAAUAAAUCUUGUUAUGAAAUCCCUGUAAUAGAAUUGCUUCUGGAUCACUAUAAGUCAGAAAUGUUUGAAGUCCAACAACAACAAGAGCAAGUCUGAUGAUGUCGAUGAUGGCACAAAUAUGGUACCAGUCCUUGUCAAAUUAUUUUUAAAAAACCACAUACAUCCCCCCAAACCCUCCCCCCACUAAGAAUAGCUUGGGUUUGAGAACCAUAUCUGAAAUAUGUACCCGCUGUUUGAUCUUCCUCACUAUCACUUCACAAAAUAGGCUGAAUGAGUUUCCUUUAUCUGAAAUAUUCUAAACUCAAGACCUUUUUGUACCUAGCUGCAGUGGGGCAGGGACCCUAAAAAACAGCCAUGAAAGUAAAUAUGGAGUGACCUACUGGCUGCUGCCUAUAUCCAGACCAGAGAAUGCCUGCCUUUCAUUUUGAGUCAGCUAUUGUUUUGUUGGGGGUCUUUCUGUUUUAUGACAUCCAAAUGGAUGAUACGAAACUGAAACACGAAUGAAACAUAUGAAACAAAUAUUGCGCAUAUCUCUAGUAACUAGUCCCCUUUGCCCAAUCUCUUAUUCAUUGUGUAUUUGCAAAUACAGGUAUCACAAAUGUAUUCAAAAAAUCUGAAAUCCAAAAAAUGUGGUCUAAAGCAUUUCAGAAAAGGGAGACCAAACCUGCACAACUAUAUCUUAGUAAACAAAGUAUCCACUCUUCUUUCUACCUGAUCAGAAAGGGAUUCUGGAGGCAACAGCUGUUUACCUUGCCAAUUAUAUUGCCAGGGCUCAAUCCUAUGAAAUCAUGGGAGUUGUUGUUUUAUAAAGCCUUUCGCCUUCUCUGUCAAAGAGUGCUGGUGUGUCACCUAACUAGUCCCUGAAAGUGUGAUAUUCCUUUUGCAAAUUCUUAAUAUUGAUUGCCUCACAUCUUAUUUACUUCAUGAGUAAACCCAAUCAUGGCUCUUCGGGCACAAAGCUGAAUACUAAUGAGUAAAACCAAUGACAUUGCUUACUGCUGAAGCACUUUGUGUGCCUCACAUCCCACAAGAACUGAGUCAUUCGAAACAACACAUGCUAAGGUCAGACAUAUCACAUGCUUGUUUAUUUUCCCUUUUUUUUUACACAUUUCAGCCCUUGCUUUCCACUUCUCAAAGGGGUUUCGGAACUGAGAUUAGAAAUCAGACAUCUGCACAUAACUUACAGUCUCAAAGUCAUCUCACAAAAGGAAAAGGGAUU